This 623-nucleotide ribosomal RNA is filed under the name uncultured bacterium. Its description in RNAcentral is "bacterial SSU rRNA". The stretch from base 1 to 539 matches the Rfam family "Bacterial small subunit ribosomal RNA", at positions 338 to 873 of the family's 1533-position model. The record is from RNAcentral.
CCUACGGGAGGCAGCAGUGGGGAAUUUUGGACAAUGGGGGCAACCCUGAUCCAGCAAUGCCGCGUGAGUGAAGAAGGCCUUCGGGUUGUAAAGCUCUUUUGUCAGGGAAGAAACAGCAGCUCUAACACAGCUGUGAAUGACGGUACCUGAAGAAUAAGCACCGGCUAACUACGUGCCAGCAGCCGCGGUAAUACGUAGGGUGCAAGCGUUAAUCGGAAUUACUGGGCGUAAAGCGUGCGCAGGCGGUUAUAUAAGACAGGUGUGAAAUCCCCGGGCUUAACCUGGGAAUUGCAUCUGUGACUGUAUAGCUAGAGUGUGUCAGAGGGGGGUAGAAUUCCACGUGUAGCAGUGAAAUGCGUAGAUAUGUGGAGGAAUACCAAUGGCGAAGGCAGCCCCCUGGGAUAACACUGACGCUCAUGCACGAAAGCGUGGGGAGCAAACAGGAUUAGAUACCCUGGUAGUCCACGCCCUAAACGAUGCUGACUAGUUGUUCGGGAUUUUAUCCUGAGUAACGUAGCUAACGCGUGAAGUNAGCCGCCGUGGGAGGUACGGUCGCGAGAGUAAACGUACAAUAGAGUUAGUACGGCGUGAGACGNGCCGACGGACGACGACGAGGGAGGAGG